RNAcentral lists this ribosomal RNA (852 nucleotides) under Coolia malayensis. Its description in RNAcentral is "LSU rRNA". It matches the Rfam family "Eukaryotic large subunit ribosomal RNA", at positions 43 to 857 of the family's 3401-position model. Lineage: Eukaryota; Dinophyceae; Peridiniales; Ostreopsidaceae. The record is from RNAcentral.
UAAGUAAGUGGUGGAAGAAAAAAUAAACAUGAUUCUUUUAGUAAUGGCGAAUGAACAAAGACAUGGUCAUUUUGAAAAUUGUGGUCUUAGAUCAUGAAUUGUAUUUUCAAAAUGCAUUGCUAACACAACUGCACAUGUUUGUUUAUUGGAAAGAACAUCACAAAGGGUGACAAUCCCAUGUGUCAUGUGUAUGUUUUGUGUACAGCGUGCAUUAUAUGAAUCACAUUCAUUGACAAUUGAAUGCAAAUAGAAUGGUAAAUUUCAUUUAAUCAUAAAUAUGUUGUUGACAACUUAUAGCAAACAAAUACCAUGAGGGAAAUGUGAAAAGGAUUUUGAAAAGAAAAUUAAAAGAGCUUGCAAUUGCUGAACUGAUAAGCAAACAAAACAUACGUGUGUAUGCAAGAUUGUUGUAAUGCUUAGCAUCUUAUGCAAGGCUAUUGCAAUGAUUUUUUGUAUAGUGAUGCUACCUUUCUUUAGAAUUUGGAAUGUCUUUUUUUGAGUGUGAAUGGAAUUUUGUUUGUUAGCAAAGGAAUGCACUUUUAGAUUCAUUGUUUGAUUUGAUUUAAAAAUGUUUGUGACACAUGUCUUUGUUUUAGUUUCAUGCUUCAACCAAGGACAUUGUGUUUGAUCCAUGUCAGCAAUACAUGUUUUGUUUGACCCGUCUUGAAACACGGACCAAGGAGUUUAAUUUAUGUGCAAGAUCAUGAAACUGACAUUUGUAUAUCAAUGAAAAUAUUUUGUUGGGAUUUGUGCACCAACAACUGAUAAGUUGUGUGACGCGACGUUGAGUUUGAGCAUGUUGAUUAAAACCCGAAAGAUGGUGAACUAUGCCUGAACAGAAUGAAGUCAGAG